This 424-nucleotide ribosomal RNA is filed under the name uncultured bacterium. RNAcentral describes it as "partial 16S ribosomal RNA". It matches the Rfam family "Bacterial small subunit ribosomal RNA", at positions 360 to 776 of the family's 1533-position model. The record is from RNAcentral.
AAUCUUCCACAAUGGGCGAAAGCCUGAUGGAGCAACGCCGCGUGAGUGAAGAAGGUUUNCGGAUCNUNAAACUCUGUUGUUAGGGNAGAACAAGUACAGUAGUAACUGGCUGUACCUUGACGGUACCUUACUAGAAAGCCACGGCUAACUACGUUCCAGCCGCCGCGGUAAUACGUAGGUGGCAAGCGUUGUCCAGAACUAUUGGGCGUAAAGCGCGCGCAGGCGGUACAUUGAGUCUGAUGUGAAAGCACACGGCUCAACCGUGGAGGGUCAUUGGAAACUGGGGGACGUGAGUGCAGAAGAGGAAAGUGGAAUUCCAAGUGUAGCGGUGAAAUGCGUAGAGAUUUGGAGGAACACCAGUGGCGAAGGCGACUUUCUGGUCUGUAACUGACGCUGAGGCGCGAAAGCGUGGGGAGCAAACAGG